GACGAACGCUGGCGGCGUGCUUAACACAUGCAAGUCGAGCGGUAAGGCCCUUUCGGGGGUACACGAGCGGCGAACGGGUGAGUAACACGUGGGUGACCUGCCCUCAGCUCUGGGAUAAGCCUGGGAAACUGGGUCUAAUACUGGAUAUGACUCCACGGUGCAUGUCGUGGGGUGGAAAGCCUUGUGCGGCUGAGGAUGGGCCCGCGGCCUAUCAGCUUGUUGGUGGGGUGAUGGCCUACCAAGGCGACGACGGGUAGCCGGCCUGAGAGGGCGACCGGCCACACUGGGACUGAGACACGGCCCAGACUCCUACGGGAGGCAGCAGUGGGGAAUCUUGCGCAAUGGGCGAAAGCCUGACGCAGCGACG
RNAcentral lists this ribosomal RNA (367 nucleotides) under uncultured bacterium. Its description in RNAcentral is "bacterial SSU rRNA". It matches the Rfam family "Bacterial small subunit ribosomal RNA", at positions 28 to 396 of the family's 1533-position model. The record is from RNAcentral.